GCGGAGUAUAUUAGUCACUUCAUUUUAAUUGUCAUUAGUCUUGAUAAAAUAACAUUUACAAUAUGGUGUACUGUAAAAAAUUAACUGCAAAUAACAGAAAUAAAUGUGUGUAUACUGUAUCAUUUUGUGAAUAUGACCGAAAUCUGGAUUUAUUCUGACCAUUUUCUUCAGUCAAAUUUUGUCUUUAAUAACGGUCGAAUAAUUUGGCAGAUGCUGGAUCUAAUCUGACCGUAGCCUUAAGCUACGACUAGACCACCGACAAUUGUCCACUUUCCUAUUAUCAGAGAUUACCUUAUUCUUAUUAUUUAUAUUAACAAAUCACAGGAUUAUUUAUUAUUUAAUUAUUUGAUAAUGCAGACUGAAAAUACUUAAUAGUGUAAAUAAAUAAUAAUACAAAGUAUAAUAUUAUCGUCGUUGUCGACAUCACGAACAAAAAUGGUAAAUCUGCAAAUAAAAUAAUAAUUAUCACUACAGUACCUAUAAGAUAUUAAAUGUAAGGUAAGUAUAAUAAAAAAAUGGAAUUUAUACAAAAAUAAAAUGUUUUUUAACACGAUUCAUUAGUUAUUAUUUAUUGGAAGAAAUUGGAUUUUUGUUGUUUUUAAGUUUGGUGAAGGUUAGGUGACAUGAUUUAAAUGGUGACGCGCUAGCUGUACCACGAUGUUUUUCUUUCUGCCAUUUGGCUGGUCCCCAGAGACAUUCUACAUUUUGAGUAAGUACGUGCUUCACUUAGAGGAUCUACAAAGUUUUUGCUGUGAUUUAUUGUCAAAUGUUUAUAAUCAGCUUUUUCAAGUUCCCUGGAGUUCUAUGCCCGCCAACAAUCUGAAUUAUUCUUCCCGUUUUUGUAUAUAAUAAUAUUGCAUUCAGGAGAGUAGACAUGAUAAUUUGACGAGGAACAUUGACCAAAAUACAUACUUUAGUUUCACGACAUAGUACUCCAAAAAUCCAUUUUUGCGGAAGUAUUCCGAUGUUAAGAAAAUUAGUUUUCGUCUGUCUCAACAAUUUUACCUAGGUUUCUUGUCUCAAUACUGAAACACAAACUUCUCGUAAAUAUAGUUCCAGUCUAUGACAGUAUUUUUGUUCAUUUUUCAAAUUUUUUUCGCACUAUUUUAUAGAAGUUGAUUUUUCAGUCUGAGCAAAAAUAAAUAGUACAAGUAUAUAACAGUCAAAAAUGGAAUUCAACUGUAUUCAAACUAAGUGUUAUUCCGAACACCUUCCUUUUUUUUGUCAAUUUUUUAUAUUAAACUUCCAAAAUAUGAAUUUUCUGAAGUUUAUAUUCUUGCAUUUUUUUUUUUUAAUGUUUUAAAUAUCACUUUCAAAUGUCCGUAAUAUUAUUAUUUAAUUAAUAAUAAAAUAAAAUAAACAGUAUACACAAAAUCCGUAAUAUUGAUGUGAUUACUGCAGCGAAACUGUCUACUUUUAUAAUACUGAAUAUACACUAUGUUAGAAGUUUAGUCAAGUAUUGACUGACCAAAAAAAUAGAAAUAAAUAGAUCCACUAUAUUACUAUAUAACUAAAUUACAUUACUAAACUACUCAACUAAAUCGGUCUGUUCAUACACGUUACAUACAUACGUUUCAUACACGUACAGUUACUAAAUAAAAUACUCGCUAGACGGUACU
This is a non-coding RNA of Cinara cedri, 1619 nucleotides long. The record is from the annotation of a GenBank genome assembly. Lineage: Eukaryota; Metazoa; Arthropoda; Insecta; Hemiptera; Aphididae.